Alosa sapidissima (American shad) is the source of this 2894-nucleotide long non-coding RNA. RefSeq lists it as uncharacterized. Lineage: Eukaryota; Metazoa; Chordata; Actinopteri; Clupeiformes; Clupeidae. The record is from RefSeq and is a predicted model, not a curated record. The transcript is spliced from 3 exons.
CUACUGCGGAGCAAGUGGGAUGUCAUUAAGUAGACUACCUUAGAGUUUGAAGAAUCAGUCGGGCCGAGGCUGCAGUUGUUAUAUCCACUGAUGUAACGGGAUUGUCCCUCUUGUACCUACCAUCAACCCUUACCCCAGCGACGAAAUUUGGUCGUGUUUGGCAUGGCAUUGAUGGAGAAGCUGACAGAGAAAGGUGAAGCUUCAAGGCUGUUGGGUGCAGUAAUCUGCGAGCGUCAGAAACCCCCUAACACUUCAGGGGGUGAAAAGUGCUCUAGAGCAAGGGUGUUGGUGGUCCAGAGUAAAGGAUGGGGAUGAAGUGAAUGUUGAGGAUGCCAUGGGAGGACAAGACCUGCAUCUUCCCCUGAGCCUGGUUCAACUUAUGCAUAGUAAAGACGUCCUGGGCAAGGGCUGUUGUACAGUUAAUGCAUGUUAACGGAACAAAACGCACUCCAGGUUUUGGCUGACGGGUGAUUGUAUGGUAGGUGGUCUAAGCGGUGGUGUAAAAGCAGAGUAGCAUUAGUAAAAGCACAUGGAUAAGGUAAGCACAGUAGAGCAAAUCACUUCUUAGCAAUGUUGGUGCAAAAGAAGCAGCAGCAUCAUUCUGUGUAGCACCAUUUUGAAUGAACGGAUGGAGGAAUCUGCUGUCCUGUUGAACAGAAUGUUCAUACACACACACACAGCUUCCUAACAGCCUGUCAAGCAAUGUUGCCAGUCUCAGAUAUGUAACUGCCAUCAAUGACUGUUGCUCAAAGAGAGCCAUAUUUAAUCACUCUUACACUGUACUUGUGAGCUGACAGCUUGGUGAUGAGGCAUGGUCUGCACUAGGGCUGCAACUAACGGUUAUUUUAAUAGUAAUUUAAUCCAUCAAUUAUUUUAUUGAUAAAUGGAUUAUUGUUAUCAAUAACAUUUCCGGAAAUGGUGAAAAACACGCCAAAGAUAUUUAGUUUACUAAAGUUGAAAGUAUUCAGGUUUAAGAAGCUUCAAUCAGAGAAUUUUUGAGUAUUUUCCUUAAAAAGUGACAAACCGAUAACCAAAAUAGUUGUAAAUUAAUUUAACAGUUGACAACUAAUCAAGGUCAUCACACUUCAAGACUGGCUCUCAAUGGAUGGUAGGGACUGGGGAAGAUGGCUGACCUAUUCAUCUGUUAGUUUUCCUGCCCACACUGUCUGUUUAUACAUCUGUCCACUCUGUCUGUCUUUCUCACUCAUGAUCUUUAAUGUACGUUAAUAAAUCCACUGUGUUUUUAAUGGGUAACUGGUGAUGUCUUCAAACGGAGCUGGGACCAAAGUGCUAUUAAAACUUCGCAAUGUUUAAUUUGCUCCCCAGAGUCAUACACACCCUCUCCCUCACACACUCACCCAGACACACACAUACACACACACACACACACACAAGCAUGCUUUGGUGAACAUUCAACGCUGUCGGUGAGUUUGAUGUGAAGUGUAUGAAACCAUCGACCGUUGAUUGUACCCCACGGCCUGGAUUUCCUGCGCCGGAAAAUCAGCACAUGAACCAGGAAUAUCAGUACCCUCAACACCUGAUAAUGUGUGAAAUGCAUAAGGUCUACAAGGCUUGAAAUGUGAAGUGUGACUUUAUGUGUGUGUGUAUGCAAGUGUGUGAGUGCAAGAGUGAACGAGUGGAAUAGAGAGUAUGCUGCUUGAGUAUGUGAGUUUGUGUGUGUGUGCAUGUGUGUGAGAGAGAGUGUAUAUGUGAGUGUGUGUGUAUGUGUUCCCUUUCAUGUAUUCAGGAUAAGAAUGCCCUCCUGUUAAAAGGUCACAAUCAACAUUCAUUGCUGUCGGUGGGUUCAACACAGUGGAAAGCUCACCGAACAAUGAGUGCAACUGUGUCCCAGAUUCUCUCGCUCUCUCUCCUCUUCUGUUAAUGUCACAGAGCCCUAUCGCCACCAGAUGCAUUUUUAUUUAUUCAUUUCUCCAUGUUAGCCUGGUCUUCAGGAGGUUGGCUGUCACCGAGGAGGUGUGUGUGGUUGGGGGGCGCUCGCCUCCUACCCCGGAUGGUGUAAUUGAAGGUUGUGGUGUUCAUCAGGGAAGGGGGGGGGGGGGGCUUUCAGGAGUGGUGGUGGAAGGAAAUGAGGGAUGAAUGUGUAAUCAUCUGGAUUUUCAUCUCAUCUGGCCGCUUUGUUCUGCGUUUUUUAUUUGUCAAAUUACAUGCUGUGUGUUUGUAUGGCAGCAGGCCGGAGAGGAACCAGGAACUAAUUGGCCUAUGCUUUUCCAGCACGACUUCCUCAGCUGUCGCUUUUGUCAGCGAUAGCCCUCCUCUUCCUCCAAUUUUAUGUUUCCGUCUAUGAGUGUGUGUGCAUGUAAGUUCGAGAUACAGCAGCAAAUGAGUAGCACUGAUUGAGCCCCAUAGCCAGUAGCUCGCUAGUCAUCCGCUGUGACUCAUCUCUAUUUCAUGCAGGGCUGGCAGGCUCGUUUGUGGGUCAAUGGGUUAUGUGUGCUCCAGGCAUGUUGGCUAGUUUCCUAAGACUGGGAGACUUUGAAACCCAGACAGAGAGCUUCACCUAGAGCAUUCUGGAGCAUGUCAGAGAAAACCACUUGUCAUUUAGUUGAAAAGGAGGAAUAAAGUGUAAUGUACAGCCUUCAGCGCACAGUGGGUGGUAUUUUGGUAUUUUGCACAAGCUUUAGCAGGCGAUAAUGCAAUAAAGAUAUAUAUUAUGAAACAUCUAACACCUAGGCUAUAAUUAUUCAUAGGUGAGGCAUCACACAUCAGAAUGGGUAUCAAAGGAGGUUUUUUCUCAUCUGCUUUUCCACAUAAAAAUAAUGUGUCUUGUAAUUGUCUUGUAAUGGCUGAGCAAAAUAAAAUGACACUAACAAACGUUAAAUGUCCAGUUAAAUACUGUUUUGUGACUUGAAUAAAAUCUGCUAAGUACAUUUCAA